Molecule: long non-coding RNA, 294 nt
Filed under: Elaeis guineensis (African oil palm)
Lineage: Eukaryota; Viridiplantae; Streptophyta; Magnoliopsida; Arecales; Arecaceae
Description: long non-coding RNA (EGUI_LNC065608)
Source: RNAcentral
AAACCGACUCUGACACAAACCAACAGAACCAAAGUUGACUAGAUCAAAUCUGGAGUUCGAUAUAAAGGCAUCCUUGAGUAGAUAUGGUAUAGGACCAUGUCAACCGAAUAGAUACUUUGAUUUUUGAAUUCGGGAUAGGGAUUUGAUCUCCCAUACAGAUGCCAUACAGGGAUCUAACUUUGAGAAGUAGCUUAGAGCCAUUAAAUAUGAAAUGAAGUCCAUGAAGAUCGAUGAUAUAUGGACAUUCAUUGAUUCACCUGUAGGAGUAAGACCCAUAGGGUGUGAGUGGAUUUU